AUUGAACGCUGGCGGAAUGCUUUACACAUGCAAGUCGAGCGGCAGCGCGGGGCAACCUGGCGGCGAGCGGCGAACGGGUGAGUAAUGCAUCGGAACAUGUCCAUGUCGUGGGGGAUAGCCCGGCGAAAGCCGGAUUAAUACCGCAUACGCUCGAGAGAGGAAAGCCGGGGACCGCAAGGCCUGGCGCGAUUGGGUUGGCCGAUGUCCGAUUAGCUUGUUGGUGAGGUAAAGGCUUACCAAGGCGAUGAUCGGUAGCUGGUCUGAGAGGAUGAUCAGCCACACUGGGACUGAGACACGGCCCAGACUCCUACGGGAGGCAGCAGUGGGGAAUUUUGGACAAUGGGGGCAACCCUGAUCCAGCCAUUCCGCGUGAGUGAAGAAGGCCUUCGGGUUGUAAAGCUCUUUUGUCCGGAGCGAAACGGGUAGCCCUAAUACGGCUGCCUACUGACGGUACCGGAAGAAUAAGCACCGGCUAACUACGUGCCAGCAGCCGCGGUAAUACGUAGGGUGCGAGCGUUAAUCGGAAUUACUGGGCGUAAAGCGUGCGCAGGCGGUUUUGUAAGCCAGAUGUGAAAUCCCCGGGCUCAACCUGGGAAUGGCAUUUGGGACUGCAAGGCUGGAGUGUGGCAGAGG
This 633-nucleotide ribosomal RNA is filed under the name uncultured bacterium. Its description in RNAcentral is "bacterial SSU rRNA". It matches the Rfam family "Bacterial small subunit ribosomal RNA", at positions 28 to 657 of the family's 1533-position model. The record is from RNAcentral.